Molecule: long non-coding RNA, 879 nt
Filed under: Heterocephalus glaber (naked mole-rat)
Lineage: Eukaryota; Metazoa; Chordata; Mammalia; Rodentia; Bathyergidae
Description: lncRNA (ENSHGLG00100037755.1)
Source: RNAcentral
GGGGAGUGGAAAUUUUUCCUGGGUGGCCCUCAUUGCUUCUGUCAUCUUCCUCCAUAAACUGUUGCACCUCUACCAUUCUGCCUUGGAGCCAGCUGAUUAUGGACUGAAACCUCUACAAACUGUGAGCUAAAAAAAUCUUUUCCCCUUUAAAAAAAAAAAGAAAAGAAAAGAAAAAGAAAUUUUUCCUGGACAAAGAAACCACAGGCUCACAGCAAAUGUGACUGACUUCACAUCACAAGGUUGGGUUCCUGUCUCUCUGGUGGCUUCUCAUUUUCCUCCUGAAAUGUCAGCUCCACAAGACCGGGGAUUGUGUUUGUCUUCUUCACCUCUCAAUCCCAAGAAAUACAGUGCUCAUGGCCCGUGUAUUAAAGGCUUGGUCCUUAUCUUGGUGCUAAUGGAAGGUGAUGGAAGCAUUUAAGAGGAUCAGUGGGGACCACCAACUAUGGACUGAAACUUCCAGAACCGAGCCAAGCAAACCUUUCCUCUUUUUAAGAUGAUUAUCUCAGGACCUUGCCUUGUGAGGCAGGCGGCGGAACCACUGAGCUGAAUCCCCAGGCCAAGAUGAAUUCUUAACACAUAAUUGGGGCUCUAUCAUGAUCGCUCACCAUGAGGAAUAUAUUCACACUUUCCACGUAUUCAAUUUAGAUGUAAAGUAAUAAUACUGGCUUCUGGAACUACAGAAGAGAAACUUAUUAUAUUAUAGACGUAUUUUACAAAUAUGACCUCCCACAUCUGCUGGGAAUUCAAACAAUAUGCAGAAAGUUCCGAUAAAACUAGACAGUAGAAUACAGGAAAAUUGAGCAAUAGAUCUAGUAAGGGAAUGUAGUUUGCAAUUUUGCCAAAGGCUUGAGAACUCUCAUGUCACAUGAUUAUAGAAAG